RNAcentral lists this ribosomal RNA (908 nucleotides) under Osteocephalus subtilis (Brazilian slender-legged treefrog). Its description in RNAcentral is "partial 16S ribosomal RNA". The stretch from base 167 to 908 matches the Rfam family "Bacterial large subunit ribosomal RNA", at positions 569 to 1931 of the family's 2925-position model. The record is from RNAcentral. Lineage: Eukaryota; Metazoa; Chordata; Amphibia; Anura; Hylidae.
GCUAACAAUCUAGCCCACCAACACUUUAUGAACCUAAACACCUCAUCAUAAGAACUAAAACAUUCUAUUAAUCUAGUAAAGGCGAUUAAAAAAUUAGUAGGAGCAACACAAAUAGUACCGCAAGGGAAAGAUGAAAUAAAAAUGAAACAAACAUCAAGCACAAGAUAGUAGAGACUAACCCUCGUACCUUUUGCAUCAUGGUUUAACAAGUCCAAUCAAGCACAAUGAAUUACAGUUUGACCUCCCGAAACUAAGUGAGCUACUUCAGGGCAGCUUAUUGAGCGAACCCGUCUCUGUUGCAAAAGAGUGGGAAGACCCUCAAGUAGGGGUGAUAGACCUAACGAACUUAGUGAUAGCUGGUUACUCAAGAAAAGGAUUUAAGUCCAGCCUAAAAUCUUCUCAGUUUUCAAAACAUAGCUUUGAUUUUAGAGUAAUUCAAAUAAGGUACAGCCUAUUUGAAAAAGGAUACAACCUAGACCAACGGGUAAUACUAUAAUUUUAUAACUAAGUGGGCCUAAAAGCAGCCACCUUUUAAAUAGCGUCAAAGCUUUAUUAUUAUAUAUCCCUAAUUCCUAAAAAAUUUAACAACCCUUCAAUUCUAUUGAGUAAUUCUAUAGUACUAUAGAAAAUAUGAUGUUAAAACUAGUAACAAGAAGAAGACCUUCUCUUUAAUGUAAGUGUAAAUCAGAAAGGACUCCCCGCUGAUAAUCAACUCCUAUGAAACUACAUUAGCAACUCUUCAAGAAAACCCUAAUAAAUUUUAAGUUAAUCUAACACAAGAACAUUACAAGAAAGAUUAAAAGAAAAAGAAGGAACUCGGCAAACAUUAACCUCGCCUGUUUACCAAAAACAUCGCCUCUUGAAUACUUAUAAGAGGUCCAGCCUGCCCAGUGACUCUGUUCAACGGC